Molecule: ribosomal RNA, 403 nt
Filed under: uncultured bacterium
Lineage: Bacteria
Description: partial 16S ribosomal RNA
Rfam family: Bacterial small subunit ribosomal RNA
Source: RNAcentral
GACGAACGCUGGCGGCGUGCCUAAUACAUGCAAGUCGAACGCAGUGGGGACGGGUGAGUAACACGUUGGUAACCUCCCAUCAGAGCGGAUAACACUUGGACACAGGUGCUAAACCGAUACUGAUGGAUGGACCAGCGGUGCAUUGGCUAGUUGGUGGGGUAACGGCUCACCAAGGCUACGAUGCAUAGCCGACCUGAGAGGGGGAUCGGCCACACUGGGACUGGGACACGGCCCAGACUCCACCGGGGGGCAGCAGUAGGGAAUCUUCGGAAAUGGACGAAAGUCGGACCGAGAAACGCCGCGUAGGUGAAGAAGGUUUUCGGAUCGUAAAACUCUGUUGUUAGAGAAGCGGUAUCUAACCAGAAAGCCACGGCUAACUACGUGCCAGCAGCCGCGGUAAUAC